This 253-nucleotide ribosomal RNA is filed under the name uncultured bacterium. Its description in RNAcentral is "partial 16S ribosomal RNA". It matches the Rfam family "Bacterial small subunit ribosomal RNA", at positions 524 to 776 of the family's 1533-position model. The record is from RNAcentral.
UACAGAGGUCUCAAGCGUUGUUCGGAUUUAUUGGGCGUAAAGGGCGCGUAGGCGGCGGGGUAAGUCGGGUGUGAAAUCUCAGGGCUCAACCCUGAAACUACACUUGAUACUGCUCUGCUUGAGGGCUGGAGAGGAGACUGGAAUUCACGGUGUAGCAGUGAAAUGCGUAGAUAUCGUGAGGAAGACCAGUGGCGAAGGCGGGUCUCUGGACAGUUCCUGACGCUGAGGCGCGAAGGCCAGGGGAGCAAACGGG